RNAcentral lists this small RNA (622 nucleotides) under uncultured fungus. Its description in RNAcentral is "eukaryotic LSU rRNA". The stretch from base 199 to 353 matches the Rfam family "5.8S ribosomal RNA". The record is from RNAcentral. Lineage: Eukaryota; Fungi.
CGGAAGGAUCAUUAUUGAAUAAACCUGAUGUGGCUGUUAGCUGGCUUUUCGAAGCAUGUGCUCGUCCGUCAUCUUUAUCUCUCCACCUGUGCACAUUUUGUAGUCUUGGAUAUUGCUUCCAAGACUAUGUUUUUAUAUACACCAAAGUAUGUUUAAAGAAUGUCAUCAAUAGAAACUUGUUUUCUAUGAAAAUUAUACAACUUUCAGCAACGGAUCUCUUGGCUCUCGCAUCGAUGAAGAACGCAGCGAAAUGCGAUAAGUAAUGUGAAUWGCAGAAUAUCAGUGAAUCAUCGAAUCUUUGAACGCACCUUGCGCUCCUUGGUAUUCCGAGGAGCAUGCCUGUUUGAGUGUCAUUAAAUUCUCAACCUUCCAACUUUUAUUAGCUUGGUUAGGCUUGGAAGUGGGGGUUGCGGGCUUCUAUUAAUGAGGUCAGCUCUCCUUAAAUGCAUUAGUGGAACUUUUGUGGACCCUCUAUUGGUGUGAUAAUUAUCUACGCCGUGGAUGUGAAGCAGCUUUAUGAAGUUCAGCUUCUAACUGUCCAUUGACUUGGACAAUUUUUGACAAUUUGACCUCAAAUCAGGUAGGACUACCCGCUGAACUUAAGCAUAUCAAUAAGCGGAAA